RNAcentral lists this long non-coding RNA (8335 nucleotides) under Homo sapiens (human). RNAcentral's name for it is "HSALNT0358688". The record is from RNAcentral. Lineage: Eukaryota; Metazoa; Chordata; Mammalia; Primates; Hominidae.
UCAUUGCAACAUGUAAGCAAUAUAAAAAUUAUCAAUGGGAUAUUUUACUUUUUUUUUCUAAAUCUUCAAAAUCUGCUGUGCAUGUUACCCUUUCAUGCAACAUGACCCCUGCAGACCAGCCAUAUUUCCAGUGCUCAGUAGCCAAGUGUGGCUGGUGGCUUCUAGAUUGGACAAGACAGCCCUAGGGGAUCCUCUCCAUCCUCACUGUGUGAAUGUCAUCUGUAUUACCAGGACACAGAAAUCUUUUUCACCAGUCUGGAGCUCUCUUUUGAACUCCAGAUUCUUGUAUACAUUUGGUGCCCCAAAGACACAUCAAACUUCAAAGGGAAUAUCAUGGGGUGGGCCGGGUUUGCAACUUCAUAUAGCAUGACCAGGGAAGGACCCUGGGAGGAAAUGGUAUUUGAACAGGGAUCUGAAGGCAGGGAGGAAAUGCGCUCUGUAGCUGUCUUGGGGAAAGCCCAGUGGGCAGGUAAAAGGGCAAGUACACCCAUCUUGAGCCGGGAGCAAGCCUGGCAUGUCCCAAGAACAGGAGGGAGGGGGCUGAGCUGGGAGAGAGUGGCGAGGCGUUGACUCUUGGCCUGUGUGAGUCAGGGAAGUCAUGGGAGUAAGGGUGGAGGAAUGGCAAGUUCUGAUGUCUAUUCUAAAAUGAUGCUGUGGUUCAGGGUAAAGAAACAACCAGAGGGCCAAGAGUGGAAGCAGGGAGGUGAGGCAGGAGGCUGUUGCAGUGGCUCUGGGAGAGGUGGUGGAAGCGUGGACAAUGCCGUGGAGGAAGGAAGACACCUACGCUUGGAGGCUGGAUCUGUUUGUAAGAUGCAGGCCACAGGGAUUGGUGAAGAAUUGGGUGUGGGCUUUGAGAGAACCAGAGGAGUCAGGGUGAUUCUAGAGUCCUUAAAGGAUGGUCAGGUUCCAGUAGCCUCUGACUGAGGAGGUAAGAUGCAGAGGCCUGGCUGCCAGAGCCCCACAUGAGAUGACGCUGAGGAGCUAGCUGAGUUCCAACAACUCUGUGGUGUCAGCCAAGCCACAUCACAGCUCCACCUCUCCCCUGCCCCAUCCUGCCUCCCUCCCCGUUUCCCACAGGUGUUUGUCUCAAGGCAUUCCUCUUAAGCGUCCUGCUUCAUAAACUCCUUCUGAGAGUCUGCUUCCUGGAGAGCUCAACCUUCACCACUCACCCCCAAGAUCCAACUCAUAAAUUCUCCUGGACACUGCGAUGAGGCAGCUGGCUUUCUCCCUGGCACCAGCCCCAAGGGAGCCAGCCUUUGCCUAUAAUUGAUUCCUGGCCCUGACCCCCUCCUCCUGCCAGAGGCCCAUGCAGCCCAGAGGCUCCAGUGGCAAUGACCAUGUUGAGAUGCUUAAAUCCUGCCAUCUUGGCUUUUUCCAUUAUUUUUUAAACCUUGGGGGCCAUGGUAUCCAAGGUCCAUAGACACUGGGUGGCCAGUGAUAAGAGGUCCCUGUCACUCUGCCCCAGGAACAACUGACACCAGGCCUGGGCAGCCCUUCUUCCCCCUACAGGGGCCCUUGCUCCCUUUUGUCUUGACAAGAGGCCCCACCUCAUCCCAAGAGGUGCAGGAGGCCAGACUUUGCAGAGUAGCUGGCCAGAAUCAAGAGACCACAAUGAAUUUGUUUCUAAUGAUCGCUCCUUUUUGCUCCACCUGAGAUUGCCAGUAGAAGGGUCUGUUAAGACAAAUCUGAGUGAGUCGUUGCAUCUGGGAACCUGUACUGUCUCCUGAAUGUUCUCAGGUGAUAGCCCAAACCUGUGCUGAGAAAAGAAAUAAAGACAAGAAAGUUAGACAGGGCCCUCACUGGACAGAGGAUAACUGGCCAGCCCAACACUCCAGAUUUCAAUUUCCAUUGAGACUAAAGGGCCAUAGCGUAGGAGCAAUAGGCAGCUGGGCCGGAGUGGCCUCAGUGAGUCAAUGCAGGGAUAUUCACUGAGCAUGUAGCUUGGGCCAGGGACUGCUUAAAAGGAAGCUGCUGGGGGAACACCGACCAUGGUCCUCAGCAGAGCAGGAAGCUGGGAUCCCAGGAGCCAUGGCAAGCUCCAGAUGAGAAGUGAGUACAAACUUGCAGAACAGACAAAGAGUGAGGAAGUGGAGGCUAGGUCAAAAAGCGGAGAGUAAAGCAGGCUUCUGUCCUUCAAGGCCCAGCCCAGAAGACCCUAUGCCCAGUGAUAUAAGAUCCUCAUCACUCUGCCCCAGGAACAACUGGUAUGAUCCAUGAGCAGUCCUGGGCAGGGCAAAUACCUGGGCUUUGAGUACUGAAUAAGGUGCGAUGCACAGUCCCUAAGAAUCAUGAUGACAUCCUUAGAGUGUUAUCUUAAGGUAGCCCUGUUUAGUCCUUGCCUCUUAUCCACCCGCUACAAAGAGCAGUCAGUUUAAAAAAUGGCUUGGCUCACAGAUCAGGAACCCCUCAAGAGCAAAGACCUACCUCCCCCACUGCAGCCCAGCAACCUGUAGGGUUUUCCUGCAGUCGAACAAGUGUAGCUGGAAUUGCAUUCACCCACCUGUUCCUGAGUUCUCCUGGGACACAAUGUUGGAUUGGUGGGCACUAGUAUAUUCUUUUCACAAGUGCUGGAAUAUCACUAUUUCAAACAGCUUAAUGAUCAUUGUACAUGUGCCCUGAGCAAGGCUGCAUGAAUAACUAAAAUGUCAAAUGUCUUUGUUUUAGCUGCGAUUCUAUCAACUCUGCAGGUCUCAUAAGCAUGAGCCACAUGCCAAUUAGAAUCUCUGAUGGUCAAGUAUAAAUGUCUUUGUUUCAUAAAAAUGAAAGAAUGAGUUCAUUAUCACUUAACUCCCUCUAGAAGAAAUAAUCUUUUAAAAACUUAAGAUCCAUAAGGAGGAAAGAUGGGUUGUUAAAGCAGGUCCUCCCUAAAGAUUGCUUCCUUGCCUGUGAAUAGAAUGAAUCCAAUGGCAUCAUUUCCUAGAACCAAGUUGAAUUUCCCACUGGAACCAGAAUUCCAGAAAGCCCUGGACAUCACUCUACAUGUCAAGGCUGCAGACACACACACAUCAAUUCUGAAAGAGGGAGGAUUCCAAGAGUGAUGGUGCCUGCAGGGCCUUCUGAGAUAAGAUGAGGAGUCUUUCUGGUUUCCAAGGGGAGGAACCCAAGCUACAGUCUCACUGGCACCAAAGAUUAGAGAGGUUAGUGAUUGAGGACCCAGGGAGGCAGCUGCUCUCUGAAGACUCUUCCCUAGUGGAGCUAUACCUCAGCUCAAAAAGGCAACCACAAAUCUUGUGUCCAGCACAGCUCCAAUUCAAGCAAAUUUCAUUCUCUUUCACCAAGGAAAGUCUAUACACAUACACAUGUAUAUACACACAUGUAUGUAUAUAUGUUUAUAUAUGUGUGCAUGCAUACAUACAUACAUAUGCAUGUGUAUAAAAUGGGAUUUGAAUUAUAGACUUAGACCUGUCUUUUCAUCAAAAUAAAUAAACAAACAUGAAUUUACCCAUCAGAAAACUUCAGUUGUCAGGACCUGUGUCUGAUAUUUAGCUGGGGAAAUUUCCCCUGUCACUGGGGUGGUGGAUGUUGUCUCAGAGCUGAACACUGGGCUGGUGGGGUCAUCGGAGGAUGAUGAGGAUGAAUCAAGGCUGUUCUCCCACUUUCUCCAGGGCUGUGCCUGGGACCAUAUGUGUAUGUGUGGCUGAGAGGAGGCAUGGGUCCCAAGACAUGGGUCAUCAGAGACUGAAGCUCUCCAGGGCAGCCUGAGAGAUCUGGCAGGGCUCUGGGGGCGCCUCAGUUUUGUGAAUCACCGCCAUGUGGUGCCUUUGGAGUCAGCCAGCUCUGCCUCCUAACCCCAUCCCCUCACUCACCAGAUGUGUACCUGGGUCUCAAUUUCCCCCAUCUGUCAUUGAGGACAGUCAUACCGACCUCAGGGAGGGAUCAGGUGAGAUAAAUGUGAUGAUGACCAAAAUGCAAGACAAUUACUGAUCAUGAGCAGAUGAAGUCUAGAAAGGGGGAAAUUGGUCCACAGAACACAGUGGGUCAAUGAGGGACUUAGAACGAAAACUCGAGUCUUGGGUUCCCAGGCCAGACCUCCUUUCACUGCACCAGGGAUUUCAAAGUGGGAUCCACAGAUGUACUGUCAGGGGCCCUUGAGUGAUAUGAGAGUCUUUUUUUAUUCUGAUAUUUUCAUUUUAAAAAUUGAAAAAUAUCAGUGAGACCCUAUUGGGGUUGUGUGUGGAUGAUCAUAUUAUCACCAACUAAUGCUUCAGGAAUGCAGAGUUCACAUUUGCAUUUGGGUUUACUAUCAUGUUUUUGCAAAAUGAAGGCCAAAUGACUUCAUGGACUGCUGUACAAACAAAGGUUUAGCAAUUGUUCAAACAGAGAUAAGUGGAGGGAGGAUUGAGUCAUCAAACAGAACAGGGGACACAGACAUGCCACAAAUAAGCUGCUCUGCAUUGAAGCUGGUAGAAUUGUAGUCACUGUUUUGCAAGCAGGUGCCUGAGUGAAUGCCACCUUGGUUUGCAACAACUUGCAAGACAACACUAGCAGCUGGAAAUGGUAAAUGGUAUAUAGUCUUACUAAAUGGUACAUAUUUCUAUAUAUUUUAAAUUAUUAUAUUUUGAAGUGCUCUAUUAAGUUGAUCGCUUCAUCAAAAUUCUAGGUCUGUGUUUAGAAGUGUGUUCAUUGUAAUACAUGAAAAAUAUAAUAAUAUUGAUAAUAACUCUAAUGAUGGUCUAGCAUGUCCAAACAUCAAAAUGAUCUAGUUGAUAACAAGCGGAACUUAAAUGGGAAUGUAUCCUUCUAUUAUUAAACCCAACGUUGGUUGUUUUACUUUCAGCAAAACAUCAUCUGUCACAUUAAAUUAAUGCCAUUAAUUUGAAUUUUAAUGGUUUUGUAGCUUUAUUUGCAUUUAAUUUGUAAUUGUGUUUUGGUUUUACAGCUGUGUAAGAGCUAAAAGCAUAAGAGAUUUAUACUUACUUUUAUGUUUGUAUAUAUUUAAGUAACAAUAUGAUCAAAAUAAUUCUUAUCAACACUGGGGGUCUGCAAUGAUAGCUUUCCCUUUAGAAGGCAUGUUUUAGUCAACUUUAGGAAUCACUGAGACUGCGCCACAGCACACUGCUCAAUGCACAAGAGGGAUUGCAUUUGAACAGUACUAGGUGGGAUUGGAUCCAGCCCAGUAUGUUGUGGGAAGGGCAUGUGGGGAAAAAAUUCCCCUGGGAAUUUAGGUCCAGGCUUUUCAAAGUGCUGGGUUACUUAGUCACCAUCUCAGAUGACUCAGGGACCCCAAUCAGCUACCAAUAUCUUUUGGCUCUCUUUCUGCUGUUCCUUUACCAAACAAUUUCGUGUAAUUCGGUGAUAAGCCACUGAGAGUUCAGACAGAGAUUCUUAACCUGAAUCCUAUAACAAACUUCGCUGGAGGAGAAACCCACAGCCUUCACCAGAGUGUCACCCGCAUGCUUCCAGCAUCCUCAGAGGAUGGGGCCAGCCCCAAAAUGCUGUGGGGGCAAGGGCUGGUGUGUCCCUGGACCUGACUCUGCAGCAGGCACUUUUUUCCUUGCCUUCCACUCCCACGUAAAAGCCGGCAGAGGAAAGAGACUGGAAAAGGCUGGGUCACUUCCCUGAGAUGCACAGCUGGACACUUACAAUAGACAUAGCACUGAAUCUCGUCGAUUGCUGUCAGCUACAGGUCCUCCCCAGCCUGAAGAGCCAAACUGGUUACCACAGAGGUUCUCGAGGAAGGAACCCAGUCCAGGAGGUCAGAGUCUUGGUUUCCCAAGAUGGCCGGACUACUGAGUUGCUGUGUGACCUUACACAAGUGAUUCAAACUCUCUGAAUCUUCCAGAGCUGAUAGAGCCACCGAAGCAGAGAAGGAGUGGGGGAGGAGAAGUCUGCAAGUGUGCACUGGACCGUGUCCUAAAGUGCCAGCCAGAUGGCCAUCUGUGCGCUUUGGCCUCCCCAGUCCUGCCAGGGAAGGAAGUAUGAAGCCAAAGCCAGAUGAGAGUGAAGACCUGGCCAACAGCCUCUCUGCAGACCCUGCCAAGCACAUGCCACCCCCUCGGUCAUGUGCACACACACACCUGCACACACACACUCUGCUCAGUCCUUCAGCUGGUCAGCGCUGAUGGCUCUUGUGGGGGGCCUCUGCUCUGUCCCGAUCCACCCAUGCUCACAGUCCCCCCUGCAGAAGCACUAGUAAUGCUCAGAGGACUUUCCAAAGCCCCUACGGAACCCAGGGACUGCUCACCCGUGGCUGUUGGUUAUGUCAGAUAUCGGAGAACCAGCCCCAAAGACAGGCUACUGUUGUGGGAAAGCCCAGAACAUAAGACUGCAAGGUCUGGUUCUUUCUGGAAUCACUGCACUCCCUGGAGAAGGCCACACCCCUUCCUCUUUCAGGCUUUAGCUGCGGCAUCUGUAAAAUGGUGAUCCUAACCCCUGUCCUGCCUGCCUUAUGGAGACAGUGAGGAUUAAAUGUGUGUUAGAAAGGAAAGCUCCCUGUAGGUAAGAAAGUGUUGAGCAGACCUCACAACCAAUGCUUUCCGUAUGUGCUUCCAGGAUUUCAGGGAGAUUUUUCUAUUUUCCAUGGGUGUGAUAUGUCUCCAUACAGCCUGGAGCCUAGUAUUUGUGCAGAUAGUCAGGACUGGAAGAGCUCAGAUGUUGGAGAAUUUACUGCAGGCUGGUCCUGUAUAUUGUAUCGGCUUGUCACCUUCCUCGUUCUGCACACUGGAUCUCUGUUAACAUAGCCCCUGACUCUCACAGAACUUAUUGUCAGCUCUAACCCUGUGCUUGUUUUCUGCACUCUGCUGCUAACAUUCCCAGCCCUUGUAUGGAUAGGCCUGGGGCCUCAUGGCACCCUGUUCCCAGGCCUGCAGAAAUCUGCUCUCUGGGAGCACCUCCACCAGACCUGGCUGACCGUGUCCCUGAGCCAGAAGGGGAUUAGAGGCCCCCACUGAGCUGGAGCUGGAGAUUUGGAACAGAAUACCCCCUCCCUUUCAGCUGGGCAAAAAGGAGAAGGAGCAGAGCCAACAGCCCCAGGGCUUCCUGAAGAAACUUUGCACCAGGAGCCUCCCAUUUCCUGGGCUUCUGCUGAUGGAACAAACUUUCCUCGGCCCUUGGCGGCCCAGAUUCUGGAACAGGCUACUCUGCAGUCAGGCACUGUGUGGGGGAAGGGGUGUCAGCCUGGGAUGGCAAGGACAAAGCCCCAGCCCAUGCUGCUCCCCAAUCUCUCCUUCCACCCAACUUGCUCUGUGGCCUCCAGCAAGGCCCUUCUCUUCCUGGGGCCUUAAUUUCCUCAGCUGUAGAAUGAGUCAGGGAAAUAAGAUUGGUCCGGUGAAAUGUCACAGUUGAGUGGGUCUUACAGAGGCAGAUUCUACAUGGAGAAGGGGUGUGGAGCACCACCAUCUUUUCUGAUUCCACUCUCACUUCCCAGCUCUCACAGCCUUAAAGCAAACUCCAGCUGCCCAGACCUCCACUGUGUGCCCUGGGCUCUGGGCCUUGGCUGAUCUGGUAAAUGCUGCCCCCACACGCCAAAAGGACAGAGGAAACAACUAAGAGAGUCCCCAAGGCCCAAGGCUGGAACAAUUUGAGCAACAAAAUACAUCAUGAGAGUAUCAAAUUAUAACUCCUAGAAUAAAAUAAAAAUCCAGGAGUCCACAUGGUUAUAAAUAAGUACCUGAAUAAAUAAAUAAAUGAAGGCAGCUCUUCCUUACAGAAGAGUUCCAAUUAAUAAAUGUGACAUGAACAAGGGAAAUAAAAAAACACCAUUAGAACACCACAGUAAUAAUUAUUGCAGACAAGACGCACUGAUGUAUGCUAAAAUUAAUGGGUGAAAGUUUGAGGAGAAGCAGCAUGUUCGAAUUGUCUCAAAGUAUCUCCCCCAAGAGAUUUACUAAUUAUAAAGGGGAAAGAAAAUACAGUAAUCUGCAGUGGAGAAACCCAGUAGGUGCCACCUUAAUCAAGUGACCAAGUUAACAUCACCAGUAAUAAGACGUAGCAACAUCACCACACGCCCCGAUAGGAUGCACAGAGAAGACAUUUCAUGUAUAUAGUAUUCUUGCCAAAAAAUGCAUAACAUCAAUUUCAUCAUGGGGGGACAAUCAGACUGAGGGGCAUUCUACAAAAUCACCCAUCAGUACCCUUUCAAAUGUCAAGGUCAUGGACGGCAAGGAUGCUCUGAGGAACCAUCACAGAUUGGAGGGGAUUAAGGAGAAUGACAGCUAAAUGAAACGUGAGAGCCUGGAUUGGAUCCUGGAAUAGUGGAAGGAUAUUAAGAGAAAAACUGGUGAACUCUGAAUCAAGUCUGUAUUUUAGUAACAGUAUUGCCCAAUGUUGUUAAUGUAAUGAUUUUGAUAAAUUAUACAAGAUGCUAACAUUAGGGAAAGCUAGGUGAAGGUGUACA